RNAcentral lists this ribosomal RNA (618 nucleotides) under Naganishia globosa. RNAcentral describes it as "LSU rRNA". It matches the Rfam family "Eukaryotic large subunit ribosomal RNA", at positions 8 to 621 of the family's 3401-position model. The record is from RNAcentral. Lineage: Eukaryota; Fungi; Basidiomycota; Tremellomycetes; Filobasidiales; Filobasidiaceae.
AAAUCAGGUAGGACUACCCGCUGAACUUAAGCAUAUCAAUAAGCGGAGGAAAAGAAACUAACAAGGAUUCCCCUAGUAACGGCGAGUGAAGCGGGAAGAGCUCAAAUUUGAAAUCUGGUAGCCUUCGGUUGCCCGAGUUGUAAUCUAGAGAAGUGUUUUCCGCGUUGGCCCAUGUACAAGUCCCUUGGAACAGGGCGUCAUAGAGGGUGAGAAUCCCGUCCUUGACAUGGACCCCCAAUGCUUUGUGAUACACUUUCAACGAGUCGAGUUGUUUGGGAAUGCAGCUCAAAAUGGGUGGUGAAUUCCAUCUAAAGCUAAAUAUUGGCGAGAGACCGAUAGCGAACAAGUACCGUGAGGGAAAGAUGAAAAGCACUUUGGAAAGAGAGUUAAACAGUACGUGAAAUUGUUGAAAGGGAAACGAUUGAAGUCAGUCAUGCUCUUUGGAUUAAGCCGUUCUGCGGUGUAUUUCAUUGAGCGGGGUCAACAUCAGUUUUGAUCGCUGGAAAAGGGCAGGAGGAAGGUAGCACUCUCGGGUGAACUUAUAGCCUCUUGUCGUAUACAGUGAUUGGGACUGAGGAACGCAGCAUGCCUUUUGGCCGGGAUUCGUCCACGUACAUG